AGCUUUACCCAGUGGCAGUAUCGUAGCCAAUGAGGUUUAACAGAGGGGAGAUCAGUGCUAAUUGUAACCAAUUUGUUGAGUAAUUGGCAUUCAUUGUUUAAUUAAUCGAUAUGCUCAGAAGAUCUAACCUUUGUCCUCAGGCAUUUCAUCUUUUGCUGGUUAUAAUCAUUUUCUUAAAAGAGCUUAUGUUC
Molecule: small nuclear RNA, 191 nt
Filed under: Monodelphis domestica (gray short-tailed opossum)
Lineage: Eukaryota; Metazoa; Chordata; Mammalia; Didelphimorphia; Didelphidae
Description: U4 spliceosomal RNA (ENSMODG00000027284.2)
Rfam family: U4 spliceosomal RNA
About the family: U4 small nuclear RNA (U4 snRNA) is a component of the major U2-dependent spliceosome.
Source: RNAcentral